This 72-nucleotide transfer RNA is filed under the name Camelus bactrianus (Bactrian camel). It matches the Rfam family "tRNA". Rfam says of the family: Transfer RNA (tRNA) molecules are approximately 80 nucleotides in length. Lineage: Eukaryota; Metazoa; Chordata; Mammalia; Artiodactyla; Camelidae. RNAcentral also lists the same sequence under 2 other names. The record is from Rfam by way of RNAcentral.
GUGGGUGUAGCUCAGUGGUAGAGCAUGUGCUUAGCAUGCACAAGGUCCUGGGUUCAAUCCCCAGUACCUCUA